Molecule: ribosomal RNA, 480 nt
Filed under: uncultured bacterium
Lineage: Bacteria
Description: partial 16S ribosomal RNA
Rfam family: Bacterial small subunit ribosomal RNA
Source: RNAcentral
GACGAACGCUGGCGGCGUGCUUAACACAUGCAAGUCGAACGAUGAAGCAAAGAAUUGAAGCUUCGGCAGAAAUUCAUUUCGGAUUAGUGGCAGACGGGUGAGUAACGCGUGAGCAACCUACCUCUUACAAAGGGAUAGCCUCGGGAAACCGGGAUUAAUACCAUAUAACAUUGCGACGAAGCAUUUCGAUGCAAUCAAAGCUACGGCGGUAAGAGAUGGGCUCGCGUCCCAUUAACCAGAUGGUGAGGUAACGGCUCACCAUAGUAACGAUGGGUAACCGGCCUGAGAGGGUGAACGGUCACACUGGAACUGAGACACGGUCCAGACUCCUACGGGAGGCAGCAGUGGGGAAUAUUGCACAAUGGAGGGUACUCUGAUGCAGCGACGCCGCGUGAGUGAUGAAGGAAUUCGUUUCGUAAAACUCUGUUCUAUGGGAAGAAAAGGACUGUACCAUAGGAGAAAGCUCCGGCUAAAUACGUG